Molecule: ribosomal RNA, 253 nt
Filed under: uncultured bacterium
Lineage: Bacteria
Description: partial 16S ribosomal RNA
Rfam family: Bacterial small subunit ribosomal RNA
Source: RNAcentral
UACGGAGGGUGCAAGCGUUAUCCGGAUUCACUGGGUUUAAAGGGUGCGUAGGCGGGCAGGUAAGUCCGCGGUGAAAUCCUGGGGCUUAACCCCAGAACUGCCGUUGAUACUAUCUGUCUUGAAUACUGUGGAGGUGAGCGGAAUAUGUCAUGUAGCGGUGAAAUGCUUAGAUAUGACAUAGAACACCAAUUGCGAAGGCAGCUCACUACACAGCCAUUGACGCUGAGGCACGAAAGCGUGGGGAUCAAACAGG